Molecule: ribosomal RNA, 476 nt
Filed under: uncultured bacterium
Lineage: Bacteria
Description: bacterial SSU rRNA
Rfam family: Bacterial small subunit ribosomal RNA
Source: RNAcentral
AUUGAACGCUGGCGGCAUGCUUUACACAUGCAAGUCGAACGGUAACAGGGAGCUUGCUCCGCUGACGAGUGGCGAACGGGUGAGUAAUGCAUCGGAACGUGCCGUGUAAUGGGGGAUAACGUAGCGAAAGUUACGCUAAUACCGCAUACGCCCUGAGGGGGAAAGUGGGGGACCGCAAGGCCUCACGUUAUACGAGCGGCCGAUGUCGGAUUAGCUAGUUGGUGGGGUAAAGGCCCACCAAGGCGACGAUCCGUAGCGGGUCUGAGAGGAUGAUCCGCCACACUGGAACUGAGACACGGUCCAGACUCCUACGGGAGGCAGCAGUGGGGAAUUUUGGACAAUGGGCGAAAGCCUGAUCCAGCAAUGCCGCGUGAGUGAUGAAGGCCUUAGGGUUGUAAAGCUCUUUUACCAGGGAUGAUAAUGACAGUACCUGGAGAAUAAGCUCCGGCUAACUCCGUGCCAGCAGCCGCGGUAAU